AGUUGUUUCCUUCAAACUGAAACUAAACUAAAACAAAAGCAAUAGUCAUGUACUAUUUUAUCGCUUAAGAAAUUGUUCAUUUCAUUGAAUAUCACCGUCGUAUAUAGACAAUAAACAAAACGUUAAUAUUCAUAGACACUAUAGGCUAUUUUCCCCCUUUAAGCGUGGUGGGUUACAUAGUUUUCAUGAAUAUACAGAUUUUGCUUUUAACUCCCACAAAUAAGCUCAUAUUUUGAACAUUCCUAGAAAAAGAGAUAACAAUUAGAAAGAGCAGUUGUAGCAUAUCGCAUUACAUAAAGUAGCCAAUUUUUAGGUGAAACGUCAAUUGUGGAUUAUGUUGUCAUGCCCGUGAUCUACAUCACCAUGCCCUUAGUGAUGCCCCUCUAUAUUUUUUUCUCUCUAUCCUUCUUUAUCUUUCUUGAGUCAUCAUCAUCAAAAUUACCCACUUUUUUUUCUUUAUUUUUGUUUUUUCUCCAUUCUUAUCAUUUUGUACUACUAUAAAAACAAACCCAUUAUUUCCACAAAACUUGUUUCCAACACUACUUGCCAAAGUUUUCCCAAAAAAAAAAAAAAAAAACUAUUUUCUUUGGGUUUUAUAAAUUAUAAACAUGGAUCAUCAAAGUAAUGAAGGUGGCAUGAAAGUGGAAAUUCCGGAGAUGAAUUUUACAAGUCCUAGAGGUUUGACUAGGCAACCAAGUAAUGGAAGUGCUAAAGUGAUGAGUACUUGCCUAUGUUCUCCGACCACCCACGCCGGCUCUUUUAGGUGUCGGCUUCAUCGGUCUCCGAGCCUCCAACGUACUAGAAGUGUAGAAACUCCGGCCUCCUCUAAGCCGGAGAAUGCUACUGUUACUACUAGUAACUACUAACAAUAUAUAUAAGUUCGAUCAGUACAUGAUGUAUUGUAUACGACAUGCUCAUGUAUGUGUUUUUGUUUUGAUCUUUUUUGAUCUUACCUUUGAUAUAUACUUAUAUUGGUUGUUGUACUAUUAUGUCAUGAUUAUAAAAUAUAAUCCAUCAGUCCAUCACUAAUGUUCUGUAGCUGAAUCUGAGGAAUUAUGCAAUCUGAUAUACAACUAUACUAGUAUAUAUUAUGAAUAA
Molecule: long non-coding RNA, 1098 nt
Organism: Chenopodium quinoa (quinoa)
Lineage: Eukaryota; Viridiplantae; Streptophyta; Magnoliopsida; Caryophyllales; Amaranthaceae
Exons: 2
Source: RefSeq, a predicted model, not a curated record